UAAGGUGGCAAUAUCGUGAGGGUUACACAUCUUCACAUUCCGAACAGAGCAGUUAAUCCUCAACCCGCCGAUGGUACUGCGAAAGUGGGAGAGUAGGUAACCGCCCCCU
This 109-nucleotide ribosomal RNA is filed under the name Muribaculaceae bacterium. The record is from RNAcentral. Lineage: Bacteria; Pseudomonadati; Bacteroidota; Bacteroidia; Bacteroidales; Muribaculaceae.